This 407-nucleotide ribosomal RNA is filed under the name uncultured bacterium. Its description in RNAcentral is "partial 16S ribosomal RNA". It matches the Rfam family "Bacterial small subunit ribosomal RNA", at positions 30 to 526 of the family's 1533-position model. The record is from RNAcentral.
AUUGAACGCUGGCGGCAGGCCUAACACAUGCAAGUCGAGCGGAGCUGCGGACGGGUGAGUAAUGCCUAGGAAUCUGCCUGGUAGUGGGUGUUAACGUCCGUAACCGUGCGCUAAUACCGCAUACUAUCAGAUGAGCCUAGGUCGGAUUAGCUAGUUGGUGGGGUAAAGUCCUACCAAGGCGACGAUCCGUACCUGGUCUUAGAGGAUGAUCAGUCACACUGGAACUGAGACGCGGUACAGACUAAUACGGGAGGGAGCAGAGGGGAAGAUUGCACAAGGGGAGGAAGCCUGAUGCAGCCAUGCCGCGUAUAUGAAGAAGGCAUGCGGGUAGUAAAGUAAUUUCAGCGGGAAAGCGUUACCAGAAGAAGAAGCACCGGCUAACUCCGUGCCAGCAGCCGCGGUAAUAC